GACGAACGCUGGCGGCGUGCUUAACACAUGCAAGUCGAACGGAAAGGCCCUGCUUUUGUGGGGUGCUCGAGUGGCGAACGGGUGAGUAACACGUGAGUAACCUGCCCUUGACUUUGGGAUAACUUCAGGAAACUGGGGCUAAUACCGGAUAGGAGCUCCUGCUGCAUGGUGGGGGUUGGAAAGUUUCGGCGGUUGGGGAUGGACUCGCGGCUUAUCAGCUUGUUGGUGGGGUAGUGGCUUACCAAGGCUUUGACGGGUAGCCGGCCUGAGAGGGUGACCGGCCACAUUGGGACUUAGAUACGGCCCAGACUCCUACGGGAGGCAGCAGUGGGGAAUAUUGCACAAUGGGCGGGAGCCUGAUGCAGCAACGCCGCGUGCGGGAUGACGGGCUUCGGGUUGUAAACCGCUUUCGCCUGUGACGAAGCGGGGGUGACGGUAAUGGGUAAAGAAGCGCCGGGUAACUACGGGC
RNAcentral lists this ribosomal RNA (469 nucleotides) under uncultured bacterium. RNAcentral's name for it is "partial 16S ribosomal RNA". It matches the Rfam family "Bacterial small subunit ribosomal RNA", at positions 28 to 508 of the family's 1533-position model. The record is from RNAcentral.